RNAcentral lists this long non-coding RNA (1583 nucleotides) under Rhipicephalus microplus (southern cattle tick). RNAcentral describes it as "uncharacterized LOC119163679". The record is from RNAcentral. Lineage: Eukaryota; Metazoa; Arthropoda; Arachnida; Ixodida; Ixodidae.
ACUGUGGAACCGAAUCACGUUUGCCGUGGACCGUCUGGCCUGUCUGCACCCCUUCCUUUGUGCCAUAAGCGUGCGGUUGACCCGUUUCGCCGAGUUUUCGGGGCUUUUGGAAUAACUCUCGCGGAUUUUGAUUUCUCUGAGUCGUGAAACCGGGAGCCAUGAACGGGUGCGCGGCCGGAGGCCAUCCUGAGGAAGGCCGCGUCGUCCUCUUCCUCGGGUGCCUGCCCGUCCUACUUCCCAAGGUCCAACAGCGGCGGGAUUCUCGUCGCACCACUGCGGGCGGUCUUCUAGCCUAUACGUCACCAGAUCACUUCACUUCCGGCCGCCGCUUGCUCCGGUUUGCGGACCGAACAAUCGCUCGUGUGGUGUGGUUGCCCACGUGGUUGACUGACGUCACGGGAUCGCUUGGGUCCCAUCCGUUCGCUUCGCCAUCUUUUGUCCGGAGUGCGUGAGACGUUAUCGCCACGACUAUCACGUGACUCGGAGCGUCCGGACGAUGUCGCGUGACGAACCAACCGUCGUCGUCGUCAUCGAAUCGCUUCCGUCACCUGGGCGCAUCGUAGUCCGCUGACGUCAUCUGCCAAGCUCGACUGCACCCUCUACCGUGUCGCUAUUCCUCCUCAUCCACUGUGCGUGUAACGGCUUCCUUGCGGUGCCCACGUGACCGUCGACGUCACAACAUCGUCGUUGUUGCGUCACGAAUCAAGCCCACUCUUUGCUUGUUGUGUGGAGUCCGUAGUGUCCUUAACAUCGAUUUGUAGUAGUCCGCGUCAACUUUAGGGCUUUUCCGCCUUACGCCGGAAAUUCCCACUGAAGUAACUGCUCAAAUCGACGCUGCCCACUGUGUCGCUCCCACACUUGCUGUUCUGUCCGUUGACGUCACGUGUGACGUCUCUUAAAGAGAGAAUCGUCAUCACCCAAUGACCAGCCCUUUCAUUGUGCUCUCAUCGCCAUAUAGGCAGUUGUGACUUUCACUGGCAAUAGCGGGAAAAGGCUCUUUUUCCUUAAUCGAAUAGCAUUAUCCUGUAACUGUAACGCAAAAGAGUAAGGCACUGUAUAACCGUACCUCCCUUUCCUGGUUUGAAGAUAGCAACAUCCUCAAACAUUAUCCUCGCACUGUCUUAAACUUACCGUUGCGUCAUCAGAUUUUUAAACCCGUAAUCGUGAUGUAUAACUGUAUCCCGCGUACAUUUGUGAGCAAGGCAUCGUGAAACUGUUAGCACAUUGACGUGUACGUCACUGGUACGCUAGUUUACUGUACGUAUACUAGCAACGGAGCACACAUUUCAAGCGGGUUUCUCACUAGUGAGUGUCAGUUUUCUCAGAUUUAAAGCAAGCGUAAUAAGACGUAGUAUAUUUCUUUAUAUUUCAUUUAUAUGUUCACAACAACACGUUUGUCCGUCUUGUAAAACAUUUGCACCUCUGUCUUCUACUGGAACGAUCGCCGUGUAUCAGGCGUCUGCGUCGUUGUUCGUUUGCGACCUUCAACUGACCUCGGCCGACAUUGAACUGACCUUGGUUGUGGCAAGCGUCUGUGGGAACGCGUGGCGAAACGCUGCACCGUUUUUCUUUUCUUAAAAAAA